AUGGAGGGGCAGAUGUUCGGUGGCGGCAAAUGGGGCUCGUCGCCCUACCCUGGCUCCAACGCCAACAUCAACGCCAACGAGAAUCAGUUCCUGCUCGAUGCCAAGGCCGCGCCGCAGCAGCUUCAACUCUUUGGGAGCAACUCAGUUGGCACCAGUGGAUAUUAUAACUACAAUGGAAAUGACAACCCAUAUGUUAUGAACCAACCAAGAAAGACAAGCAAUUGUACAGCGGAUGAAAAGAAGCUCAAGCUUCAGAUGUCCUUGAACAACUUUCAUGCAGGAGAUGCCGACCGGUUGGCAUGUACUGGUAAUUCAAGUGUUGUGUCUACUGGGCUGAAAUUGUCCUAUGAGGAUAAUGAGCGUAAUUCUUCCUUCACGUCUGGUAGUGGAAGCAUGUCUUCCUUGACUUCCACGACACCUUUUGGUCAUGAUAUUAUGACAGAAAUGGAGAAAGGAAACAAAGAGAUUGACUAUUAUUUGAGAAGUCAGGUGGAACAACUCAGUAGGCGUGUGAAAGAGAUGAAGCAGAGGCAGAUGGUUUCUCUUGUGGCUACUCUCGAACGAGGAGUAGGAAAGAAGCUGAAGGAGAAGGAGCUCGAGGUGGAGGCGAUGAACAGGAAAAGCCAGGAGCUGAAUGAACAGAUCAGACAGGUCGCCAUGCAAGUCCAGUCAUGGCAGUCGGCUGCGCUCUACAACGAAUCCGUCGCGAGCACCCUGAAGAGCCAGCUCAUGAAAGUGGUGGCAGACCAUGCCAACCGCACCAGGGAAGGUUGUGGCGACAGCGAAGUGGAGAGCGGCGCCGUGCCCAUCCAGAAGAACAUCAACGCCGUCCCCGGAGGCUUCUUUGAGUCGAGCCUCCUCCCUGGAGUCAAGAGCGGCGUAGCCGGCAGCGGGCUUGCAGCCUGCAGGUGGUGCGGAGCGAAGGAGGCGGCAGUGCUGGUGAUGCCGUGCCGCCACCUGUGCCUGUGCGCCGACUGCGAUAGGGUUGCAGAUGCAUGCCCUGUCUGUCAGUACCCCAAGAGUGGUAGCGUUGAGAUCAACAUGUCCUAG
RNAcentral lists this ribosomal RNA (1050 nucleotides) under Triticum aestivum (bread wheat). RNAcentral describes it as "partial small subunit ribosomal RNA". Lineage: Eukaryota; Viridiplantae; Streptophyta; Magnoliopsida; Poales; Poaceae. The record is from RNAcentral.